GACGAACGCUGGCGGCGUGCUUAACACAUGCAAGUCGAACGGAAAGGCCCUGCUUUUGUGGGGUGCUCGAGUGGCGAACGGGUGAGUAACACGUGAGUAACCUGCCCUUGACUUUGGGAUAACUUCAGGAAACUGGGGCUAAUACCGGAUAGGAGCUCCUGCUGCAUGGUGGGGGUUGGAAAGUUUCGGCGGUUGGGGAUGGACUCGCGGCUUAUCAGCUUGUUGGUGGGGUAGUGGCUUACCAAGGCUUUGACGGGUAGCCGGCCUGAGAGGGUGACCGGCCACAUUGGGACUGAGAUACGGCCCAGACUCCUACGGGAGGCAGCAGUGGGGAAUAUUGCGCAGUGGGCGGAAGCCUGAUGCGGCAACGCCGCGUGCGGGAUGACGGCCUUCGGGUUGUAAACCGCUUUCGCCUGUGACGAAGCGUGAGUGACGGUAAUGGGUAAAGAAGCACCGGCUAACUACGUG
Molecule: ribosomal RNA, 468 nt
Filed under: uncultured bacterium
Lineage: Bacteria
Description: partial 16S ribosomal RNA
Rfam family: Bacterial small subunit ribosomal RNA
Source: RNAcentral